GAUGAACGCUAGCAGAACGCCUAACACAUGCAAGUCGAACGAAUAUUAGUCUUCGGACUAAUGUUAGUGGCAAACGGGCGCGUAACACGUAUCUAACCUACCCUUGAGUGAGGCACAACUAUGGAGACAUAGCUAAUUCCUCAUACGCUCAUCAGAAUGAAAAUAUGAUGAGGAAAGAUUUAUCGCUCAAGGGAGGGGGGUGCGGCCUAUCAGGUAGUUGGUGAGGUAAUGGCUCACCAAGCCUAUGACGGGUAGCCGGUCUGAGAGGAUGUCCGGCCGCAAUGGAACUGAGAACGGUCCAUACUCCUACGGGAGGCAGCAGUGGGGAAUAUUGGUCAAUGGAGGCAACUCUGAACCAGCCAUUCCGCGUGAAGGAUGAAUCGCCCUCUGGGUUGUAAACUUCUUUAGUCUGGGAAGAAAACAUAUAUUCAUAUAUGUCUGACGGUACCAGAAGAAU
Molecule: ribosomal RNA, 457 nt
Filed under: uncultured bacterium
Lineage: Bacteria
Description: bacterial SSU rRNA
Rfam family: Bacterial small subunit ribosomal RNA
Source: RNAcentral